This 460-nucleotide ribosomal RNA is filed under the name Lymantria dissoluta. Its description in RNAcentral is "partial large subunit ribosomal RNA". Lineage: Eukaryota; Metazoa; Arthropoda; Insecta; Lepidoptera; Erebidae. The record is from RNAcentral.
UGCCCACUGAUUUAAUUAUUGAAGGGCUGCAGUAUUUUGACUGUACAAAGGUAGCAUAAUCAUUAGUCAUUUAAUUGAUGACUUGUAUGAAGGAUUGGAUGAAAUAUAGACUGUCUUUAAUUUAAUAUUUAGAAUUUAAUUUUUAAGUUAAAAAGCUUAAAUAAAUUAAAAAGACGAGAAGACCCUAUAGAGUUUAAUUAUUUAUUUAAAAUUUAUAUUUUUAUAAAUUUAUUAAUUUAAUUUUGAUAAAUAAUUUUGUUGGGGUGAUAGAAAAAUUAAAUUAACUUUUUUUUUUAAUAACAUAAAUAAGUGAAUUAAUGAUCCAAUAUUAUUGAUUAUAAGAAAAAAUUACCUUAGGGAUAACAGCGUAAUUUUAUUUUUUAGUUCAAAUAAGAAAUAAAGUUUGCGACCUCGAUGUUGGAUUAAGAUAAAAUUUAAAUGCAGAAGUUUAAAAUUUUGA